GGGGAAUCUUCCGCAAUGGACGAAAGUCUGACGGAGCAACGCCGCGUGAGUGAUGACGGCCUUCGGGUUGUAAAGCUCUGUUAAUCGGGACGAAAGGCCUUCUUGCGAAUAGUUAGAAGAAUUGACGGUACCGGAAUAGAAAGCCACGGCUAACUACGUGCCAGCAGCCGCGGUAAUACGUAGGUGGCAAGCGUUGUCCGGAAUUAUUGGGCGUAAAGCGCGCGCAGGCGGAUUGGACAGUCUGUCUUAAAAGUUCGGGGCUUAACCCCGUGAUGGGAUGGAAACUGCCAAUCUAGAGUAUCGGAGGGGAAAGUGGAAUUCCUAGUGUAGCGGUGAAAUGCGUAGAUAUUAGGAAGAACACCAGUGGCGAAGGCGACUUUCUGGACGAAAACUGACGCUGAGGCGCGAAAGCCAGGGGAGCGAACGGGAUUAGAUACCCCGGUAGUCCUGGCCGUAAACGAUGGGUACUAGGUGUAGGAGGUAUCGACCCCUUCUGUGCCGGAGUUAACGCAAUAAGUACCCCGCCUGGGGAGUACGACCGCAAGGUUG
RNAcentral lists this ribosomal RNA (549 nucleotides) under uncultured bacterium. RNAcentral's name for it is "bacterial SSU rRNA". It matches the Rfam family "Bacterial small subunit ribosomal RNA", at positions 356 to 896 of the family's 1533-position model. The record is from RNAcentral.